RNAcentral lists this unclassified non-coding RNA (23 nucleotides) under Mus musculus (house mouse). RNAcentral describes it as "oocyte_clustered_small_RNA13778". Lineage: Eukaryota; Metazoa; Chordata; Mammalia; Rodentia; Muridae. The record is from RNAcentral.
AGGCUCUGGAGGCUGGAGUUGAG